Molecule: non-coding RNA, 148 nt
Filed under: unclassified sequences
Description: RT-3 RNA
Rfam family: RT-3 RNA
Source: Rfam by way of RNAcentral
AAUCGGUUCCACGACAAAGAAGGACGUGUCCUCACAGUCGCACCGAGGGGAAUGAACCACGGCAAAAGCACUUUAAGUGGAAAGCCGAAACAGCAAGUGUCGGGUAGAGUUUGGUAGGCCACACCAAGGCUCGAAGAACUCAGGCCCG